GGUUAAGCGACUAAGCGUACACGGUGGAUGCCCUGGCAGUCAGAGGCGAUGAAGGACGUGCUAAUCUGCGAUAAGCGUCGGUAAGGUGAUAUGAACCGUUAUAACCGGCGAUUUCCGAAUGGGGAAACCCAGUGUGAUUCGUCACACUAUCAUUAACUGAAUCCAUAGGUUAAUGAGGCGAACCGGGGGAACUGAAACAUCUAAGUACCCCGAGGAAAAGAAAUCAACCGAGAUUCCCCCAGUAGCGGCGAGCGAACGGGGAGGAGCCCAGAGCCUGAAUCAGUGUGUGUGUUAGUGGAAGCGUCUGGAAAGGCGCGCGAUACAGGGUGACAGCCCCGUACACAAAAAUGCACAUACUGUGAGCUCGAUGAGUAGGGCGGGACACGUGGUAUCCUGUCUGAAUAUGGGGGGACCAUCCUCCAAGGCUAAAUACUCCUGACUGACCGAUAGUGAACCAGUACCGUGAGGGAAAGGCGAAAAGAACCCCGGCGAGGGGAGUGAAAAAGAACCUGAAACCGUGUACGUACAAGCAGUAGGAGCCUCUUUUAUGGGGUGACUGCGUACCUUUUGUAUAAUGGGUCAGCGACUUAUAUUCUGUAGCAAGGUUAACCGAAUAGGGGAGCCGAAGGGAAACCGAGUCUUAACUGGGCGUUAAGUUGCAGGGUAUAGACCCGAAACCCGGUGAUCUAGCCAUGGGCAGGUUGAAGGUUGGGUAACACUAACUGGAGGACCGAACCGACUAAUGUUGAAAAAUUAGCGGAUGACUUGUGGCUGGGGGUGAAAGGCCAAUCAAACCGGGAGAUAGCUGGUUCUCCCCGAAAGCUAUUUAGGUAGCGCCUCGUGAAUUCAUCUCCGGGGGUAGAGCACUGUUUCGGCAAGGGGGUCAUCCCGACUUACCAACCCGAUGCAAACUGCGAAUACCGGAGAAUGUUAUCACGGGAGACACACGGCGGGUGCUAACGUCCGUCGUGAAGAGGGAAACAACCCAGACCGCCAGCUAAGGUCCCAAAGUCAUGGUUAAGUGGGAAACGAUGUGGGAAGGCCCAGACAGCCAGGAUGUUGGCUUAGAAGCAGCCAUCAUUUAAAGAAAGCGUAAUAGCUCACUGGUCGAGUCGGCCUGCGCGGAAGAUGUAACGGGGCUAAACCAUGCACCGAAGCUGCGGCAGCGACACUAUGUGUUGUUGGGUAGGGGAGCGUUCUGUAAGCCUGUGAAGGUGUACUGUGAGGUAUGCUGGAGGUAUCAGAAGUGCGAAUGCUGACAUAAGUAACGAUAAAGCGGGUGAAAAGCCCGCUCGCCGGAAGACCAAGGGUUCCUGUCCAACGUUAAUCGGGGCAGGGUGAGUCGACCCCUAAGGCGAGGCCGAAAGGCGUAGUCGAUGGGAAACAGGUUAAUAUUCCUGUACUUGGUGUUACUGCGAAGGGGGGACGGAGAAGGCUAUGUUGGCCGGGCGACGGUUGUCCCGGUUUAAGCGUGUAGGCUGGUUUUCCAGGCAAAUCCGGAAAAUCAAGGCUGAGGCGUGAUGACGAGGCACUACGGUGCUGAAGCAACAAAUGCCCUGCUUCCAGGAAAAGCCUCUAAGCAUCAGGUAACAUUAAAUCGUACCCCAAACCGACACAGGUGGUCAGGUAGAGAAUACCAAGGCGCUUGAGAGAACUCGGGUGAAGGAACUAGGCAAAAUGGUGCCGUAACUUCGGGAGAAGGCACGCUGAUAUGUAGGUGAAGCGACUUGCUCGUGGAGCUGAAAUCAGUCGAAGAUACCAGCUGGCUGCAACUGUUUAUUAAAAACACAGCACUGUGCAAACACGAAAGUGGACGUAUACGGUGUGACGCCUGCCCGGUGCCGGAAGGUUAAUUGAUGGGGUUAGCGGUAACGCGAAGCUCUUGAUCGAAGCCCCGGUAAACGGCGGCCGUAACUAUAACGGUCCUAAGGUAGCGAAAUUCCUUGUCGGGUAAGUUCCGACCUGCACGAAUGGCGUAAUGAUGGCCAGGCUGUCUCCACCCGAGACUCAGUGAAAUUGAACUCGCUGUGAAGAUGCAGUGUACCCGCGGCAAGACGGAAAGACCCCGUGAACCUUUACUAUAGCUUGACACUGAACAUUGAGCCUUGAUGUGUAGGAUAGGUGGGAGGCUUUGAAGUGUGGACGCCAGUCUGCAUGGAGCCGGCCUUGAAAUACCACCCUUUAAUGUUUGAUGUUCUAACGUUGGCCCCUGACCGGGGUUGCGGACAGUGUCUGGUGGGUAGUUUGACUGGGGCGGUCUCCUCCUAAAGAGUAACGGAGGAGCACGAAGGUUGGCUAAUCCUGGUCGGACAUCAGGAGGUUAGUGCAAUGGCAUAAGCCAGCUUGACUGCGAGCGUGACGGCGCGAGCAGGUGCGAAAGCAGGUCAUAGUGAUCCGGUGGUUCUGAAUGGAAGGGCCAUCGCUCAACGGAUAAAAGGUACUCCGGGGAUAACAGGCUGAUACCGCCCAAGAGUUCAUAUCGACGGCGGUGUUUGGCACCUCGAUGUCGGCUCAUCACAUCCUGGGGCUGAAGUAGGUCCCAAGGGUAUGGCUGUUCGCCAUUUAAAGUGGUACGCGAGCUGGGUUUAGAACGUCGUGAGACAGUUCGGUCCCUAUCUGCCGUGGGCGCUGGAGAACUGAGGGGGGCUGCUCCUAGUACGAGAGGACCGGAGUGGACGCAUCACUGGUGUUCGGGUUGUCAUGCCAAUGGCACUGCCCGGUAGCUAAAUGCGGAAGAGAUAAGUGCUGAAAGCAUCUAAGCACGAAACUUGCCCCGAGAUGAGUUCUCCCUGACUCCUUGAGAGUCCUGAAGGAACGUUGAAGACGACGACGUUGAUAGGCCGGGUGUGUAAGCGCAGCGAUGCGUUGAGCUAACCGGUACUAAUGAACCGUGAGGCUUAACCUU
Molecule: ribosomal RNA, 2905 nt
Filed under: Escherichia coli
Lineage: Bacteria; Pseudomonadati; Pseudomonadota; Gammaproteobacteria; Enterobacterales; Enterobacteriaceae
Description: 23S ribosomal RNA
Rfam family: Bacterial large subunit ribosomal RNA
Source: RNAcentral